This 256-nucleotide ribosomal RNA is filed under the name uncultured bacterium. RNAcentral describes it as "partial 16S ribosomal RNA". It matches the Rfam family "Bacterial small subunit ribosomal RNA", at positions 521 to 776 of the family's 1533-position model. The record is from RNAcentral.
UAAGACGAACCGUCCAAACGUUACUCGGAAUUACUGGGCUUAAAGGGUGCGUAGGCUGCGCGGAAAGUUGGGUGUGAAAGCCCUCAGCUCAACUGGGGAAUUGCAUUCAAAACUACCGUGCUCGAGGGAGACAGAGGUAAGCGGAACUCAAGGUGGAGCGGUGAAAUGCGUUGAUAUCUUGAGGAACACCGGUGGCGAAAGCGGCUUACUGGGUCUCUUCUGACGCUGAGGCACGAAAGCUAAGGUAGCAAACGGG